GACAGAGGUCCCGAGCGUUAGGCGGAAUUACUGGGCGUAAAGGGCGCGUAGGCGGCCAUCUAAGUCAGACGUGAAAUCCCCCGGCUUAACCUGGGAACUGCGUCUGAUACUGGACGGCUUGAGUAUGGGAGAGGGAUGUAGAAUUCCAGGUGUAGCGGUGAAAUGCGUAGAUAUCUGGAGGAAUACCGGCGGCGAAGGCGGCAUCCUGGACCAUUACUGACGCUGAGGCGCGAAAGCUAGGGGAGCAAACGGG
This 253-nucleotide ribosomal RNA is filed under the name uncultured bacterium. RNAcentral describes it as "partial 16S ribosomal RNA". It matches the Rfam family "Bacterial small subunit ribosomal RNA", at positions 524 to 776 of the family's 1533-position model. The record is from RNAcentral.